Molecule: ribosomal RNA, 253 nt
Filed under: uncultured bacterium
Lineage: Bacteria
Description: partial 16S ribosomal RNA
Rfam family: Bacterial small subunit ribosomal RNA
Source: RNAcentral
GACAGAGGGUGCAAACGUUGUUCGGAAUUACUGGGCGUAAAGCGCGUGUAGGCGGCCGCGUAAGUCGGAUGUGAAAGCCCUCGGCUCAACUGGGGAAGUGCACCCGAAACUACGUGGCUCGAGUCUCGGAGAGGAUCGUGGAAUUCUCGGUGUAGAGGUGAAAUUCGUAGAUAUCGAGAGGAACACCGGUGGCGAAGGCGGCGAUCUGGACGGUGACUGACGCUGAGACGCGAAAGCGUGGGGAGCAAACAGG